Tachysurus fulvidraco (yellow catfish) is the source of this 899-nucleotide long non-coding RNA. RefSeq lists it as uncharacterized. The transcript is spliced from 2 exons. NCBI's taxonomy places the organism in Eukaryota, Metazoa, Chordata, Actinopteri, Siluriformes, Bagridae. The record is from RefSeq and is a predicted model, not a curated record.
UCUUUAAUUCUAAAAAUACACAACGCAGAAGAAAACCCACUACACAAGGACUAAGACAAAACACCUGGGGAAGAGAUUGAAUGCAAUUAAAUGUCCGUGGUAACAAAUGGGUAGGCGGGGUCAACAAUUAACAUCAGGGAAUGACAGCAGACAGACACAAGGGAAAAUACGGACAGACUCGUUACACUACCAGGUUUUUACAGGUAUUUAAGCCAAACACACAUUACUGUUUGUGCAAAAUAUUAUUCCUCUGUGUUGAUACCAAGCCGUUUGUUUAUGGUUUUGACCCUCUUCUGUUUUUGGAAGAACUUUACCCACCUACUGCUAUUGUUACGUCCUUUUCUAUUUGUUUUCUGUUUUUGGGGAGGUGUUUGAGUUUCUGUGCAGGAUAAACCCUGAUUGGUUCCUGAGGUUUACCUGGUGCCACGCCCUGCUGGUCAGCUGACUCCCUCUGGCCUAUAAAAGCCUCCACCACCACUUCCUGUUUAGCUUCUUUGGCUCAUUUGCUGUCAUCACUUGCUUUUUGCUAACUAGUUGUGUGAAAUUGCUCUGUGUAUUUAUAUUCUUAGCAUUUCCUGUUAAUACUGACUCUUGCCUGUUUUUUUUACUUUGAUUCUGGAUCGCCCUUGUUUGGACCUGUUUGCUAAUUUGUAUAUAGUGGUAUAUAAUAUUUGUGGGGAAGUAGGGAGACCGAUGCCAUUUUGUUUGUACCUUUUCUUGAUUGUGUUUAUUCUUAGGGAGAUAGGGAAGUGAUUUGUGUUUUCUUUUUCUUUUGUUUAGUAAGGAAGUUAAGGGUUGCAAUAAAUAGCCGUUUCAUUUGUUAUUUUGGCCUUGUUGGCUCCUGAAGACACCCCCAUUUGUACACUUGUUUUCCUAGUAAAAUAUUGUUCUUUCAGCUA